AAUACAUGCAAGUCGAGCGAAUGGAUUAAGAGCUUGCUCUUAUGAAGUUAGCGGCGGACGGGUGAGUAACACGUGGGUAACCUGCCCCAUAAGACUGGGAUAACUCCGGGAAACCGGGGCUAAUACCGGAUAACAUUUUGAACCGCAUGGUUCGAAAUUGAAAGGCGGCUUCGGCUGUCACUUAUGGAUGGACCCGCGUCGCAUUAGCUAGUUGGUGAGGUAACGGCUCACCAAGGCAACGAUGCGUAGCCGACCUGAGAGGGUGAUCGGCCACACUGGGACUGAGACACGGCCCAGACUCCUACGGGAGGCAGCAGUAGGGAAUCUUCCGCAAUGGACGAAAGUCUGACGGAGCAACGCCGCGUGAGUGAUGAAGGCUUUCGGGUCGUAAAACUCUGUUGUUAGGGAAGAACAAGUGCUAGUUGAAUAAGCUGGCACCUUGACGGUACCUAACCAGAAAGCCACGGCUAACUACGUGCCAGCAGCCGCGGUAAUACGUAGGUGGCAAGCGUUACUCCGGAAUUAUUGGGCGUAAAGCGCGCGCAGGUGGUUUCUUAAGUCUGAUGUGAAAGCCCACGGCUCAACCGUGGAGGGUCAUUGGAAACUGGGAGACUUGAGUGCAGAAGAGGAAAGU
RNAcentral lists this ribosomal RNA (634 nucleotides) under Bacillus cereus. RNAcentral's name for it is "bacterial SSU rRNA". It matches the Rfam family "Bacterial small subunit ribosomal RNA", at positions 50 to 662 of the family's 1533-position model. Lineage: Bacteria; Bacillati; Bacillota; Bacilli; Caryophanales; Bacillaceae. The record is from RNAcentral.